RNAcentral lists this ribosomal RNA (729 nucleotides) under uncultured bacterium. RNAcentral's name for it is "bacterial SSU rRNA". It matches the Rfam family "Bacterial small subunit ribosomal RNA", at positions 136 to 851 of the family's 1533-position model. The record is from RNAcentral.
GACUGGGAUAACACCUGGAAACAGAUGCUAAUACCGGAUAACAACACUAGACGCAUGUCUAGAGUUUGAAAGAUGGUUCAGCUAUCACUCUUGGAUGGACCUGCGGUGCAUUAGCUAGUUGGUAAGGUAACGGCUUACCAAGGCAAUGAUGCAUAGCCGAGUUGAGAGACUGAUCGGCCACAUUGGGACUGAGACACGGCCCAAACUCCUACGGGAGGCAGCAGUAGGGAAUCUUCCACAAUGGACGAAAGUCUGAUGGAGCAACGCCGCGUGAGUGAAGAAGGGUUUCGGCUCGUAAAGCUCUGUUGGUAGUGAAGAAAGAUAGAGGUAGUAACUGGCCUUUAUUUGACGGUAAUUACUUAGAAAGUCACGGCUAACUACGUGCCAGCAGCCGCGGUAAUACGUAGGUGGCAAGCGUUGUCCGGAUUUAUUGGGCGUAAAGCGAGUGCAGGCGGUUCAAUAAGUCUGAUGUGAAAGCCUUCGGCUCAACCGGAGAAUUGCAUCAGAAACUGUUGAACUUGAGUGCAGAAGAGGAGAGUGGAACUCCAUGUGUAGCGGUGGAAUGCGUAGAUAUAUGGAAGAACACCAGUGGCGAAGGCGGCUCUCUGGUCUGCAACUGACGCUGAGGCUCGAAAGCAUGGGUAGCGAACAGGAUUAGAUACCCUGGUAGUCCAUGCCGUAAACGAUGAGUACUAAGUGUUGGGAGGUUUCCGCCUCUCAGUGCUGCAG